RNAcentral lists this ribosomal RNA (1346 nucleotides) under uncultured bacterium. RNAcentral describes it as "bacterial SSU rRNA". It matches the Rfam family "Bacterial small subunit ribosomal RNA", at positions 28 to 1381 of the family's 1533-position model. The record is from RNAcentral.
GACGAACGCUGGCGGCGUGCUUAACACAUGCAAGUCGAACGGAAAGGCCCUGCUUUUGUGGGGUGCUCGAGUGGCGAACGGGUGAGUAACACGUGAGUAACCUGCCCUUGACUUUGGGAUAACUUCAGGAAACUGGGGCUAAUACCGGAUAGGAGCUCCUGCUGCAUGGUGGGGGUUGGAAAGUUUCGGCGGUUGGGGAUAGACUCGCGGCUUAUCAGCUUGUUGGUGGGGUAGUGGCUUACCAAGGCUUUGACGGGUAGCCGGCCUGAGAGGGUGACCGGCCACAUUGGGACUGAGAUACGGCCCAGACUCCUACGGGAGGCAGCAGUGGGGAAUAUUGCACAAUGGGCGGAAGCCUGAUGCAGCAACGCCGCGUGCGGGAUGACGGCCUUCGGGUUGUAAACCGCUUUCGCCUGUGACGAAGCGUGAGUGACGGUAAUGGGUAAAGAAGCACCGGCUAACUACGUGCCAGCAGCCGCGGUGAUACGUAGGGUGCGAGCGUUGUCCGGAUUUAUUGGGCGUAAAGGGCUCGUAGGUGGUUGAUCGCGUCGGAAGUGUAAUCUUGGGGCUUAACCCUGAGCGUGCUUUCGAUACGGGUUGACUUGAGGAAGGUAGGGGAGAAUGGAAUUCCUGGUGGAGCGGUGGAAUGCGCAGAUAUCAGGGGGAACACCAGUGGCGAAGGCGGUUCUCUGGGCCUUUCCUGACGCUGAGGAGCGAAAGCGUGGGGAGCGAACAGGCUUAGAUACCCUGGUAGUCCACGCUGUAAACGGUGGGUACUAGGUGUGGGGUCCAUUCCACGGGUUCCGUGCCGUAGCUAACGCUUUAAGUACCCCGCCUGGGGAGUACGGCCGCAAGGCUAAAACUCAAAGGAAUUGACGGGGCCCCGCACAAGCGGCGGAGCAUGCGGAUUAAUUCGAUGCAACGCGUAGAACCUUACCUGGGUUUGACAUGGAUCGGGAGCGCUCAGAGAUGGGUGUGCCUCUUUUGGGGUCGGUUCACAGGUGGUGCAUGGCUGUCGUCAGCUCGUGUCGUGAGAUGUUGGGUUAAGUCCCGCAACGAGCGCAACCCUUGUUCACUGUUGCCAGCACGUUAUGGUGGGGACUCAGUGGAGACCGCCGGGGUCAGCUCGGAGGAAGGUGGGGAUGACGUCAAGUCAUCAUGCCCCUUAUGUCCAGGGCUUCACGCAUGCUACAAUGGCUGGUACAGAGAGUGGCGAGCCUGUGAGGGUGAGCGAAUCUCGGAAAGCCGGUCUCAGUUCGGAUUGGGGUCUGCAACUCGACCUCAUGAAGUCGGAGUCGCUAGUAAUCGCAGAUCAGCAACGCUGCGGUGAAUACGUUCCCGGGGCU